GCGGGUGUUGCAAAAGGGUAUUGCCGCAGACUUCCAAUCUGCUGUUACGGGUUCGACUCCCGUCGCCCGCUCCU
Molecule: transfer RNA, 74 nt
Filed under: Chloroflexota bacterium
Lineage: Bacteria; Bacillati; Chloroflexota
Description: Chloroflexi bacterium tRNA-Gly
Rfam family: tRNA
About the family: Transfer RNA (tRNA) molecules are approximately 80 nucleotides in length. Their secondary structure includes four short double-helical elements and three loops (D, anti-codon, and T loops).
Source: RNAcentral